AAUGGUUGGAAAUCAUUCAUAGAGUGUAAAGGCAUAAGGGAGCUUGACUGCGAGACCUACAAGUCGAGCAGGGUCGAAAGACGGACUUAGUGAUCCGGUGGUUCCGCAUGGAAGGGCCAUCGCUCAACGGAUAAAAGCUACCCCGGGGAUAACAGGCUUAUCUCCCCCAAGAGUUCACAUCGACGGGGAGGUUUGGCACCUCGAUGUCGGCUCAUCGCAUCCUGGGGCUGUAGUCGGUCCCAAGGGUUGGGCUGUUCGCCCAUUAAAGCGGUACGCGAGCUGGGUUCAGAACGUCGUGAGACAGUUCGGUCCCUAUCCGUCGUGGGCGUAGGAAAUUUGAGAGGAGCUGUCCUUAGUACGAGAGGACCGGGAUGGACAUACCUCUGGUGUACCAGUUGUCGUGCCAACGGCAUAGCUGGGUAGCUAUGUGUGGACGGGAUAAGUGCUGAAAGCAUCUAAGCAUGAAGCCCCCCUCAAGAUGAGAUUUCCCAACUUCGGUUAUAAGAUCCCUCAAAGAUGAUGAGGUUAAUAGGUUCGAGGUGGAAGUAUGGUGACAUCUGGAGCUGACGAAUACUAAUCGAUCGAAGACUUAAUCAAAUU
RNAcentral lists this ribosomal RNA (600 nucleotides) under Staphylococcus aureus. RNAcentral's name for it is "partial 23S ribosomal RNA". It matches the Rfam family "Bacterial large subunit ribosomal RNA", at positions 2326 to 2925 of the family's 2925-position model. The record is from RNAcentral. Lineage: Bacteria; Bacillati; Bacillota; Bacilli; Caryophanales; Staphylococcaceae.